Molecule: ribosomal RNA, 106 nt
Filed under: Pyxine endochrysina
Lineage: Eukaryota; Fungi; Ascomycota; Lecanoromycetes; Caliciales; Caliciaceae
Description: partial 28S ribosomal RNA
Rfam family: Eukaryotic large subunit ribosomal RNA
Source: RNAcentral
GAUACCCGCUGAACUUAAGCAUAUCAAUAAGCGGAGGAAAAGAAACCAACAGGGAUUGCCUCAGUAACGGCGAGUGAAGCGGCAACAGCUCAAAUUGAAAUCUGGC